AUUGAACGCUGGCGGCAUGCUUUACACAUGCAAGUCGAACGGUAACAGGCCUUCGGGUGCUGACGAGUAGCGAACGGGUGAGUAUGCAUCGGAACGUGCCCAGAGGUGGGGGAUAACGCAGCGAAAGCUGUGCUAAUACCGCAUGUGAUCUGAGGAUGAAAGCGGGGGACCAGGCAGCAAUGUUUGGCCUCGCGCCUUUGGAGCGGCCGAUGUCAGAUUAGGUAGUUGGUGGGGUAAAGGCCUACCAAGCCGACGAUCUGUAGCUGGUCUGAGAGGACGACCAGCCACACUGGGACUGAGACACGGCCCAGACUCCUACGGGAGGCAGCAGUGGGGAAUUUUGGACAAUGGGCGCAAGCCUGAUCCAGCAAUGCCGCGUGCGGGAAGAAGGCCUUCGGGUUGUAAACCGCUUUUGUACGGAACGAAAAGGCUCUGGCUAAUACCUGGGGCUGAUGACGGUACCGUAAGAAUAAGCACCGGCUAACUACGUG
Molecule: ribosomal RNA, 491 nt
Filed under: uncultured bacterium
Lineage: Bacteria
Description: partial 16S ribosomal RNA
Rfam family: Bacterial small subunit ribosomal RNA
Source: RNAcentral